CAGCAGCCGCGGUAACACGUAGGUGGCAAGCGUUGUCCGGAAUUAUUGGGCGUAAAGGGCUCGCAGGCGGUUUCUUAAGUCUGAUGUGAAAGCCCCCGGCUCAACCGGGGAGGGUCAUUGGAAACUGGGAAACUUGAGUGCAGAAGAGGAGAGUGGAAUUCCACGUGUAGCGGUGAAAUGCGUAGAGAUGUGGAGGAACACCAGUGGCGAAGGCGACUCUCUGGUCUGUAACUGACGCUGAGGAGCGAAAGCGUGGGGAGCGAACAGGAUUAGAGACCCGUGUAGUCCCUGUCUCUUAUAA
RNAcentral lists this ribosomal RNA (301 nucleotides) under uncultured bacterium. RNAcentral's name for it is "partial 16S ribosomal RNA". It matches the Rfam family "Bacterial small subunit ribosomal RNA", at positions 509 to 809 of the family's 1533-position model. The record is from RNAcentral.